CUGGCUAAGUGGUGAAGUGGGGACGAAGAAGGUUAGGUGAGCUGGGUGAUGGUUAUCCCAGUACAAGCAGGUAGGCGGAACGACAUGGCAAAUCCGGUUGUUCAUUAACGCUGAGCUGUGAUGUGGAUUUAGACGAGUCUAAAGGAGUCAUUGAUACCAAGCUUCCAGGAAAAGCUGCUAGCCAUAACUUAGACUUAACCGUACUGGAAACCGACACAGGUGGACGAGUAGAGCAUACUAAAGCGCGUGAGAGAACUCGGGUGAAGGAACUAGGCAAAAUGGUACCGUAACUUCGGGAGAAGGUACGCCCUUUUUGGUGAAGGAUGCACAUCUGGAGCUGAAGAGGGCCGCAGAGACCAGGUGGCUGCGACUGUUUAUUAAAAACACAGCACUCUGCAAAUUCGAAAGAAGACGUAUAGGGUGUGACGCCUGCCCGGUGCCGGAAGGUUAAUUGAUGGUGUAAUCGUAAGAGAAGCGCUUGAUCGAAGCCCCGGUAAACGGCGGCCGUAACAAUAACGGUCCUAAGGUAGCGAAAUUCCUUGUCGGGUAAGUUCCGACCUGCACGAAUGGCGUAACGAUGGCCACACUGUCUCCACCCGAGACUCAGUGAAAUUGAAAUUGCUGUGAAGAUGCAGUAUACCCGCGGCUAGACGGAAAGACCCCGUGAACCUUUACUAUAGUUUUGCACUGGACUUUGAUAAUGACUGUGUAGGAUAGGUGGGAGGCUAAGAAGCUUAGACGCUAGUUUAAGUGGAGCCGCUGUUGAAAUACCACCCUGUCAUGAUUGGAGUUCUAACUUAAGCCAGUGAAUCCUGGUUGAGGACAGUGUAUGAUGGGUAGUUUUACUGGGGCGGUCUCCUCCCAAAGAGUAACGGAGGAGCACAAAGGUACCCUCGGUACGGUCGGACAUCGUACCAAGAGUGUAAAGGCAAAAGGGUGCUUGACUGCGAAACUGACAAGUUGAGCAGGUACGAAAGUAGGUCUUAGUGAUCCGGUGGUUCUGAAUGGAAGGGCCAUCGCUCAACGGAUAAAAGGUACUCCGGGGAUAACAGGCUGAUACCGCCCAAGAGUUCAUAUCGACGGCGGUGUUUGGCACCUCGAUGUCGGCUCAUCACAUCCUGGGGCUGAAGCAGGUCCCAAGGGUAUGGCUGUUCGCCAUUUAAAGUGGUACGCGAGCUGGGUUUAGAACGUCGUGAGACAGUUCGGUCCCUAUCUGCCGUGGGCGUAGGAAAAUUGAGAGGAGCUGCUCCUAGUACGAGAGGACCGGAGUGGACGAACCGCUGGUGGACCGGUUGUAACGCCAGUUGCAUAGCCGGGUAGCUAAGUUCGGACGGGAUAACCGCUGAAAGCAUCUAAGCGGGAAGCCUCCCUCGAGAUGAGUUUUCCCAAGUAGGCCCGUUGAAGACGACGACGUUGAUAGGCGAGGUGUGGAAGCGCAGUAACGCGUGGAGCUAACUCGUACUAAUUGGCCGAAUGUCUUGACC
This 1484-nucleotide ribosomal RNA is filed under the name metagenome. RNAcentral describes it as "bacterial LSU rRNA". It matches the Rfam family "Bacterial large subunit ribosomal RNA", at positions 1450 to 2925 of the family's 2925-position model. The record is from RNAcentral.